GUGCACCAGUCGCGAAUAGUCUACAAUGGACGAAAGUCUGAUAGUGCGACGCCGUGUGUGCGAUUAAUUCCUUCGGGAUGUAAAGCACUUUUCUAUGAGAUAAAAGCUCUUUAGGUUAAUAGCUUAUUGAGACGGAUAUUAUUAUAGGAAUAAGCUCCGGCUAACUCCGUGCCAGCAGCCGCGGUAAUACGGAAGGAGCGAGCGUUGUCCGGAUUUACUAGGCGUAAAGGGCUAGUAGGCGACUAAUUAAGUUAUAUGUUAAAUCCCACGGCUCAACUGUGGUCCUGCAUGUAAUACUGGUUAGAUAGAGUACUGUAGAGGAAGGCAGAAUUCCUGGAGUAGCGGUGGAAUGCGCAGAUAUCAGGAAGAAUACCAAAAGUGAAGGCAGCCUUCUGGGCAGUUACUGACGCUGAAUAGCGAAGGUGUGGGUAGCGAACAGGAUUAGAUACCCGUGUAGUU
Molecule: ribosomal RNA, 459 nt
Filed under: uncultured microorganism
Description: bacterial SSU rRNA
Rfam family: Bacterial small subunit ribosomal RNA
Source: RNAcentral